ACAGUACUCUUUAGGUUCUCACUAAAAUAAAUUAGUAUGAACUAUAGGGUGAGCAUUCCAUGAAAAUAUGUAGCCAUGCCCCAGUUUAAAGGUCACAUUUCAUCAUUGUAGGUUAUUUAUCCUGUAUAAUAGACAGGGCGGCCUUAUGAGUUAGUUACCUUCCCCCAACGUCAAGUUCUAUCAGAUGCCUACUCCCCAAAUUUCACAAUGCAUUUUGACAUUAAUUAAAACUUUGCAGCAGGAACCUUAUGGGGUUAACUCACAACCCUUCCUGAACCCACAGGGAUGGAAAGAGCACUGGAUGAGGAGUUACGGGUAGCUCCUCAACAAAGGCACACCUCUGGUCUGAGCUUCUGCACAGCAGCACUGGAGGGCACAAUAGAAUAGAUUCAUGUUUUCCAAACUGCAGGUCUCAGCCCAUCAUGGGGAGCAAAACCAAUAUAGUGGAUCAUGAUCAGUGUUUAGUAGAGGCUGGAGGUGGAAUCAAACAUAUCAGAAAAUACUAGAAACAUCUCAUGUAGUAUAGACAAGUAUUAUUCUAUGAAACCAUUAUCUUGGAUAGAUUAUUUUUAUGUCUAUGUCUGUUAUUGGCUUUUAACAUACAAUGUGCUUCUUAAAGGAAGUUGGCCAUAAAGGGUUGUGCAAUGGACUGAAUGUGUCCCUCCACCUCAAUUUCAUUUGUUGAAAUCUUAAGCCUCAGUGUGACAGUAUUAGAAGAUGGGGCCUUUGGGAGGUAACUGGGCUAUGAAGGUGGGGUCCUUAUGAAUGGGGUUAGUGCUCUUAUAAAUGGGACCCCAGAGAGCUCUCUUGUCCUCUCUCCACCAUAUUAAGACACGAUGAGAAAUCAGUAGUCCGCAACCCGGAAGAGGUUCUCUGACCAUGCCAGCACCCUCAUCUCAAACUCCCAGCCUCCAGAACCAUGAGAAAUAAGUUUCUGUUGUUUGCAAGCCACCCAGUCUGUGUUACUUUGUUUUAGCAGCCCGAACUAAAACAGUUUGGUGCAAAGGUUUGAUGCAAGCUUAGCUUAGGCUAAUUUCUAUUAAGUAGUUUCUAUUGGAUUCCACAAUCUUGUUCAUCCUAAAGAUACCUAGAGCAUCGAAGACAGUGCUUUUAGCCUCCAAGUAACUCCAUAAUCAAAAACUGCUUCUCUCCUAUCUAAACAGCAGUCUUGGGUUCCUGUUAGAAUGAGUGAAUUCACCUUGAGGAUUUUGGGCGCUCUAAAAACUUGGUAUUUGCUGUGGGUUAGGAAGGUCCCUAGGAUCACACUGAAGUCUUCCUCCUGUGCCUGUGAGAGCAGCUAACGAGUUAUGACCAUGGCCUGACCAUAUUCCAAGAAACAAAAGCAUCAAAGUAGGAUGCUAUUUGGAAGAACGAGUCCUCAAAUUUUUGCAAGAGUUCCAAAGGCCACUGCCCUGGAGAGCCCCAGGGGCCAGAAUGUGCCUGCUUUCUGAAGGGUGUGGCUGGGGUGAGAGGUAAGGCUCCAGCCAGCCAAUUCUAGGGUCCCUUCCAGCCAUUUCAACUAUUCUGGCUGUGGUAUGGAUGAUGGUGGAAGAGGGCCAGGAUGGACUCAGGAGCCCAGGGAGGUUAUGGUUAGAAUCCUGAAGAGAGAAUAAAAAGCUGGACUAGGAAUCAGCAGAAAUGAUGAGAAGCAUAAGGAUGGAGGAGAUAGCACACAAAAUCAACAGAAAUGGGUGAUGAGUUAGAUGUGAUGGACGAAAGGAUGGAGCCAAGGAUGGCUACCAAAUUUCUGUCUCCUGUGACGUCGAGGCUAGUGGCAUCCAUCACAGAGCUAAGCAAUCCUGUAAGAGGAAGAAGUAUGGAAAGUAAAGGUUAGGAUUCUGGUCUUGGAUAUGAAAAAUUUGAGAUGCCUUUGAGAUAUCCAAGUGCAACAUCAAUGAUGUAACCUAGAGUUCAUAUAGAGCCCUACGUUAGAGAUAUAAAUUUUACAUUCACUUAGGUCUUUUUAAAACUUUUUUUUAAAAGGGGGUUUUGGGUUUUUUUUCAAACCUUUUAAAAAUGCUUUCUUCAAAACUACAUUUAGAGGCACAACUGCAUGAAGCAGAGGAAAGAAUGUGGGCUUUAAAAUCAGAAAAGCCAGAGUUGGAAACAUCCGUUGCUGGCUCUGGGCCAAUGAGCAUGAACCUGGCCUAUUAGGUUUCCAAUACCUCUUCUCUCUGCGAGAAUGCUACAGCCCACUUUAGGAAUAUGGUGAAAAUGAAAAUAAACAGCACUUGAGAAGUGCCUGGAAGAGAGAAAGUCCUCAGCAAAGUGGAGCCAGAAUCAAGUUUGUACUUUUUUAUAUAUUCCACAACACCUGGUACUGUCCUGGCUAAGGGGUCCAUCAAUAUCUAGUCUAUUGAAAUGUCUUGAAAUACUCAGAAAUGUAGGUAAACCACUGUUUCCUCUUCCCUCUUCCUAGACAACCACUAGCUCUUGAAAUCAUUCCUCCACUUAGUAUCCCACUGAAGCAACUCCCAAACAUAAGCCAUACAUGGAGUGUGGCUUACCCCUCUUCACCCAUAUAAUCUGAUCCACCUCUCAGCCCUGGGAGUACCUAUCACUUGGCAGGGCCAGUGACUCUCUGGAGCAUUUUUUUUUUUUUUUUUUUUUUUUUUUGCUUUUUAGGGCU
Molecule: long non-coding RNA, 2629 nt
Filed under: Sus scrofa (pig)
Lineage: Eukaryota; Metazoa; Chordata; Mammalia; Artiodactyla; Suidae
Description: lncRNA (ENSSSCG00000059116.1)
Source: RNAcentral